AUUGAACUGAAGUCAGAGACCCCUAUGGAGAAAUUAGGGAAAGGACUGAAGGAGCUGAAGAGGAAGGCAAUCUCAUAAGAAAACCAGAAGUCUCAACUAACCCAGACAGACCCCUGGGAGCUCUGGGAGACUGAGCCACCAACCAGGCAGGAUACAUGGGCUUGUCCGAGGACCCCCCAGCACACAUUUAGCAGAUGACUGCCUGGUCUGGCCUCAGUGAGAGAAGAUGUGCCUAAUCCUCAAGAGACUUGAGGCCCCAGAGAAGGAGGAUGCCAGGGUAGGGAGUACCCUCCUGGAGAGCAACCAUCAUUGCUAAAUGCUGGUCAAUUUCUGGUUGGCUGGCAGAUUCUCCUUCGCCUCUGAGAGGGUCGUGCAUCAACUUCAGCUCACUUUCCCAAGAUUUGCUGGAGUUUUUGUUCUGUGCAGCAAGAUUCACUGCUGGAGGAUCAAUGACUGAACCUGGGAAAAGCUGGGCAAGCUCAGCAUUAAUCACAACAGAAACAGCUUCGUUGGGCGGAGUAAGCGGUGGAGUCAUAAAGAGUGGUGUUGUUUUUGGAGUGGGGGGAAUAACAUCAGAUGGAUGGAUGAAGAAUCCAGGAGCAGCCACUGGGUUGGAAGGCACUGCAUUGUGAACAGGACCUGCUGCUGCUGCUGCCGCUGCUGAUGCAGCUGCUGCUGCUGCCGCUGUUGUCUGAUGCAGCUUGGCUUCCAGCUUUGCUUUCUGUAAAAGUAAAAGCAAUGCCUGUAGAGAGUCCUGGCGAAGUUGUGAGGACACUUGAUGAUCACAUGUAAAAAACUUAAAUGACAUUAGUAAGAUUCUGCUUACAUGAGACAAAACUGGACUUAACACAUGAAGCACUGCCUUGUUAGGAACAUUUCUUAGUAUAUUAUGCAAAAUUUUCUUAUAUAUUAAGGGAACUAGAAAGUGCUCAAAAAAUGAAAAGCCAGCAGAACCAUUAAAUAUAAAUAAUGAAACCAGCUCUGCACAGAAUAAAAUGAAGCAAAUGAACUCAUUGUUAACUGACAGGAUACAAUUUCUCAAGCAGAGUUUGCACAGGUUGCAUUUAGUCAGCAAUUAAAUCCAUAAACCAUGUUAUCAUAAUUGCUGUACUUAGAAUCAAACUAAUGUCCUCCAAUUUAUAAUGUCCAACAGUCUCUGUGCCAUGAAAACAGUAACUGAUAACAAUAUAAUGUUUCUCCAAAAGUUUUUAAACAUAAAAGUACAAGUGACUUCAAGGCUACUCAAAAAGUAUCAUUUUUUUCUCAAUCACAUCCUAAAUAAAAUGCAGUCAUAGAAUAAUAAAUUUAAACAUAUCAUAGAAUAAUACAUUUAAACAUAUCACAAAGGCAUUACCUCAAAUUUUUUGUUGAAAAUGAUUAGCUCAGAUUGGACAACCUACUUUUCCUUUCUGAAAACAAUGGUCAUUUUUACAGUACUUUUCAGCUUUUGAAGUUUAGAGACAGCAUGAACAAAGAGCCAAAUAGUCUCCAACCUGUUGCUGAAGCUUCAAAAGCUGCUGCUGUUUCUCUUGCAGCACCUGCAGCUGUUGCUCGGCUGAAGCCAUUGCAUGAGAGAGAGACUGCAAAGCUACCUGGGCUGCUGAACUCAGGGCUGUCGAGGCUUCCCCAACUGUGCCAGAUGAGAGGCCACCUACUGCAGGAGGAACCCCGAAGGAACUCACUGGCAUGAGACAAGGGAAAGACAAAACAAGACACCAGGAUGAAGAAAAGACCAUGGAGCAUGUGUGGAAGUACUGUGGAAUCUGCUGGCUCUUUUCACCAACACAGGUCUCAGAGAUGAACUUAGGGCAUCAGCAUUGGCAGUAAGCAUCAACUACCUACUGAACCACCCUGGUCGCCUAGUCUGAACUUUCUAAAUGGAAUCAGUUCUUUUUCUUUUCUAAAAUUAUAAAUCUCUGUAUCUCUCAGAGC
RNAcentral lists this long non-coding RNA (1932 nucleotides) under Mus spretus (western wild mouse). RNAcentral's name for it is "lncRNA (ENSMSPG00010017227.1)". Lineage: Eukaryota; Metazoa; Chordata; Mammalia; Rodentia; Muridae. The record is from RNAcentral.